CCAGAAAGAAGAGAUUUCAACUCCCACCCCUAACUCCCAAGGCCAGA
RNAcentral lists this transfer RNA (47 nucleotides) under Luciopimelodus pati. RNAcentral describes it as "partial tRNA-Pro". The record is from RNAcentral. Lineage: Eukaryota; Metazoa; Chordata; Actinopteri; Siluriformes; Pimelodidae.